GAUGAACGCUGGCGGCGUGCCUAAUACAUGCAAGUCGAGCGAACAGAUGAGGAGCUUGCUCCUCUGACGUUAGCGGCGGACGGGUGAGUAACACGUGGAUAACCUACCUAUAAGACUGGGAUAACUUCGGGAAACCGGAGCUAAUACCGGAUAAUAUAUUGAACCGCAUGGUUCAAUAGUGAAAGACGGUUUUGCUGUCACUUAUAGAUGGAUCCGCGCCGCAUUAGCUAGUUGGUAAGGUAACGGCUUACCAAGGCAACGAUGCGUAGCCGACCUGAGAGGGUGAUCGGCCACACUGGAACUGAGACACGGUCCAGACUCCUACGGGAGGCAGCAGUAGGGAAUCUUCCGCAAUGGGCGAAAGCCUGCCGGAGCAACGCCGCGCGAGUGAUGAAGGUCUUCGGAUCGUAAAACUCUGUUAUUAGGGAAGAACAAAUGUGUAAGUAACUAUGCACGUCUUGACGGUACCUAAUCAGAAAGCCACGGCUAACUACGUG
This 497-nucleotide ribosomal RNA is filed under the name uncultured bacterium. RNAcentral's name for it is "partial 16S ribosomal RNA". It matches the Rfam family "Bacterial small subunit ribosomal RNA", at positions 28 to 507 of the family's 1533-position model. The record is from RNAcentral.